This 479-nucleotide ribosomal RNA is filed under the name uncultured bacterium. Its description in RNAcentral is "partial 16S ribosomal RNA". It matches the Rfam family "Bacterial small subunit ribosomal RNA", at positions 28 to 507 of the family's 1533-position model. The record is from RNAcentral.
GAUGAACGCUAGCGGGAGGCCUAACACAUGCAAGCCGAGCGGUAUUUGUUCUUCGGAACAGAGAGAGCGGCGCACGGGUGCGGAACACGUGUGCAACCUGCCUUUAUCUGGGGGAUAGCCUUUCGAAAGGAAGAUUAAUACCCCAUAAUAUAUUGAGUGGCAUCACUUGAUAUUGAAAACUCCGGUGGAUAGAGAUGGGCACGCGCAAGAUUAGCUAGUUGGUGAGGUAACGGCUCACCAAGUCAAUGAUCUUUAGGGGGCCUGAGAGGGUGAUCCCCCACACUGGUACUGAGACACGGACCAGACUCCUACGGGAGGCAGCAGUGAGGAAGAUUGGACAAUGGGUUAGCGCCUGAUCCAGCCAUCCCGCGUGAAGGACGACGGCCCUAUGGGUUGUAAACUUCUUUUGUAUAGGGAUAAACCUACUCUCGUGAGAGUAGCUGAAGUUACUAUACGAAUAAGCACCGGCUAACUCCGUG